Molecule: ribosomal RNA, 253 nt
Filed under: uncultured bacterium
Lineage: Bacteria
Description: partial 16S ribosomal RNA
Rfam family: Bacterial small subunit ribosomal RNA
Source: RNAcentral
UACGUAGGGUGCGAGCGUUAAUCGGAAUUACUGGGCGUAAAGCGUGCGCAGGCGGUAAGUUAAGUCUGAUGUGAAAGCCCCGGGCUCAACCUGGGAAUGGCAUUGGAAACUGGCUUGCUAGAGUGUGGCAGAGGGGGGUGGAAUUCCGCGUGUAGCAGUGAAAUGCGUAGAGAUGCGGAGGAACACCGAUGGCGAAGGCAGCCCCCUGGGCCGACACUGACGCUCAGGCACGAAAGCGUGGGGAGCGAACGGG